AUUGAACGCUGGCGGCAUGCCUUACACAUGCAAGUCGAACGGCAGCACGGGAGCAAUCCUGGUGGCGAGUGGCGAACGGGUGAGUAAUAUAUCGGAACGUGCCCAGUCGUGGGGAUAACGUAGCGAAAGCUACGCUAAUACCGCAUACUAUCUAUGGAUGAAAGCGGGGGAUCGCAAGACCUCGCGCGAUUGGAGCGGCCGAUAUCAGAUUAGGUAGUUGGUGAGGUAAAGGCUCACCAAGCCGACGAUCUGUAGCUGGUCUGAGAGGACGACCAGCCACACUGGGACUGAGACACGGCCCAGACUCCUACGGGAGGCAGCAGUGGGGGAAUUUUUGGACAAUGAGCGCAAGCCUGAUCCAGCAAUGCCGCGUGCAGGAUGAA
This 383-nucleotide ribosomal RNA is filed under the name uncultured bacterium. Its description in RNAcentral is "bacterial SSU rRNA". It matches the Rfam family "Bacterial small subunit ribosomal RNA", at positions 30 to 412 of the family's 1533-position model. The record is from RNAcentral.